This 549-nucleotide ribosomal RNA is filed under the name uncultured bacterium. RNAcentral describes it as "bacterial SSU rRNA". It matches the Rfam family "Bacterial small subunit ribosomal RNA", at positions 355 to 896 of the family's 1533-position model. The record is from RNAcentral.
UGGGGAAUUUUGGACAAUGGGCGCAAGCCUGAUCCAGCCAUGCUGCGUGUCUGAAGAAGGCCUUCGGGUUGUAAAGGACUUUUGUCAGGGAAGAAAAGGAUAGGGUUAAUACCCCUGUCUGAUGACGGUACCUGAAGAAUAAGCACCGGCUAACUACGUGCCAGCAGCCGCGGUAAUACGUAGGGUGCGAGCGUUAAUCGGAAUUACUGGGCGUAAAGCGGGCGCAGACGGUUACUUAAGCAGGAUGUGAAAUCCCCGGGCUCAACCUGGGAACUGCGUUCUGAACUGGGUGACUAGAGUGUGUCAGAGGGAGGUAGAAUUCCACGUGUAGCAGUGAAAUGCGUAGAGAUGUGGAGGAAUACCGAUGGCGAAGGCAGCCUCCUGGGAUAACACUGACGUUCAUGCCCGAAAGCGUGGGUAGCAAACAGGAUUAGAUACCCUGGUAGUCCACGCCCUAAACGAUGUCGAUUAGCUGUUGGGCAGCUUGACUGCUUAGUAGCGAAGCUAACGCGUGAAAUCGACCGCCUGGGGAGUACGGUCGCAAGAUUA